This 194-nucleotide small nuclear RNA is filed under the name Rhizoctonia solani AG-8 WAC10335. RNAcentral's name for it is "U2 spliceosomal RNA". It matches the Rfam family "U2 spliceosomal RNA". From Rfam's summary of the family: U2 is a small nuclear RNA (snRNA) component of the spliceosome (involved in pre-mRNA splicing). Complementary binding between U2 snRNA (in an area lying towards the 5' end but 3' to hairpin I) and the branchpoint sequence (BPS) of the intron results the bulging out of an unpaired adenosine, on the BPS, which initiates a nucleophilic attack at the intronic 5' splice site, thus starting the first of two transesterification reactions that mediate splicing. Lineage: Eukaryota; Fungi; Basidiomycota; Agaricomycetes; Cantharellales; Ceratobasidiaceae. The record is from Rfam by way of RNAcentral.
UUACCACUCUGGCCCUAUGGCUUAGAUCAAGUGUAGUAUCUGUUCUUUUAGUCUUAAUCGACUAAACGCUGUCACCGACAGUUGCAUCGAUCAUUCAGUUUUUGUCGCCUGGGUGGCCUACUCCUCUGCUUGCACGAGUGGCCACGAGAUGACCUUGCUGUUACAGUAUUUAUAAGCUGGUGUCGUCGCGGGUC